AUCACUUCUGGAUGGACCUGCGGUGCAUUAGCUUGUUGGUGGGGUAACGGCCUACCAAGGCGAUGAUGCAUAGCCGAGUUGAGAGACUGAUCGGCCACAAUGGGACUGAGACACGGCCCAUACUCCUACGGGAGGCAGCAGUAGGGAAUCUUCCACAAUGGGCGCAAGCCUGAUGGAGCAACACCGCGUGAGUGAAGAAGGGUUUCGGCUCGUAAAGCUCUGUUGUUAAAGAAGAACACGUAUGAGAGUAACUGUUCAUACGUUGACGGUAUUUAACCAGAAAGUCACGGCUAACUACGUGCCAGCAGCCGCGGUAAUACGUAGGUGGCAAGCGUUAUCCGGAUUUAUUGGGCGUAAAGAGAGUGCAGGCGGUUUUCUAAGUCUGAUGUGAAAGCCUUCGGCUUAACCGGAGAAGUGCAUCGGAAACUGGAUAACUUGAGUGCAGAAGAGGGUAGUGGAACUCCAUGUGUAGCGGUGGAAUGCGUAGAUAUAUGGAAGAACACCAGUGGCGAAGGCGGCUACCUGGUCUGCAACUGACGCUGAGACUCGAAAGCAUGGGUAGCGAACAGGAUUAGAUACCCUGGUAGUCCAUGCCGUAAACGAUGAGUGCUAGGUGUUGGAGGGUUUCCGCCCUUCAGUGCCGGAGCUAACGCAUUAAGCACUCCGCCUGGGGAGUACGACCGCAAGGUUGAAACUCAAAGGAAUUGACGGGGGCCCGCACAAGCGGUGGAGCAUGUGGUUUAAUUCGAAGCUACGCGAAGAACCUUACCAGGUCUUGACAUCUUGCGCCAACCCUAGAGAUAGGGCGUUUCCUUCGGGAACGCAAUGACAG
RNAcentral lists this ribosomal RNA (832 nucleotides) under Limosilactobacillus fermentum. RNAcentral's name for it is "bacterial SSU rRNA". It matches the Rfam family "Bacterial small subunit ribosomal RNA", at positions 214 to 1037 of the family's 1533-position model. The record is from RNAcentral. Lineage: Bacteria; Bacillati; Bacillota; Bacilli; Lactobacillales; Lactobacillaceae.